This 675-nucleotide unclassified non-coding RNA is filed under the name Hevea brasiliensis (rubber tree). Lineage: Eukaryota; Viridiplantae; Streptophyta; Magnoliopsida; Malpighiales; Euphorbiaceae. The record is from RNAcentral.
UGAUAAUGGAUCAAGGUAAUAUCACUUUCUUAUUGCUUUCUUCAUAACUGAUAAAUUAGUGGCUUGUUCUGAUAAUCGUUCAUAUCCACUGCUCCUCUCUGUGUUCUAUGUUAGGUGCAUGGAAUGUGAUGGAUAAGGAACCAAGUGAAAAAUGCACCUCCCCCCAAGCACUCUUACCUCUAAAAUGGAUGCUUGCAAACUUUUAAUCUUUUGAACUUAGGCAGUGUUCGCAUUAAGACAUCUGGGAUGAUCUUUCAUUGAAUAAGAAUUUGGUAUUUGUACCUGUGUUGAGAAUCCCAACUGCAAUUUUGAUUUCUUGCUGUUUCGUGUAAUGUUCUAGUGUACUUUAGAAACUGAAUCAUCGAUUUUGUUUUGAUAUGGAAUUUAAAUGAGUUCAAUAUUAUUGCUUUUUGGGAUUUAAAUAAACUCUGAUUUCAAGUGCCUAGAUUACAGUUGAUCGCUGUUAUUUUUUAAAAUUUUGCUCCAAGUCAAGCUUCUAAUAUUCAUUUUUAACCACCACUGCCACUAACACCCCCAAACCCUCAAAACCAAAAGAAAUGGAAACAAACUCACUUAGUUUCAUCCAAUUUCAGCAUGUUUUUCAAAAUCCUUAUUUAUUGUUUAAUCUUGUUUGGCAGCUGGUCCCAGCUCUUGGAGACCCUUCCUCUUCCAAAU